AGUCACAUGUCUGGAAGUGAACAUGUGUUUGUUUUUUUCCCGCCUAUGGAAGGUUAACCAGUGUAGAAACUCCUCGCUGAGUAGCCCGGGACUGGCAAGGCAUGAAAUCUUAAUCUCGGCUUGUGUAGGGAAUCUGAGAUGGGAAUAAAUGAAACACCUUUUCCGGCUUUAUUAGCGGAUCGGAAUUUCUUCACGGAUCUUUAUUUCUUCGUUGUCUUUUUCAACGGUAAUUCCUGACCCAUGCGUGCUGUUGCUACUCAUGAUGCAAUUGUGAUAAUGAUGAUGAUGAUGAUGAUGAUGAUGAUGAUUAUAAUAGUGAUGUUUGUGCAGUGUCCCAUGAAGCAGAGCAGCAGUUAAGAAAGUAAAAAAAAAUUAAAAAUCUGGUAUGUUCAAUGUGUGGCUGUGUGUGAGCAUCCUACCAGCUGAUGAUCCGGUGCUUGUGUCAGUAUCACCCUGAAUCACACCUCUCACAGACCACCCACGCUUAAAGAGUCGCACACAUACACACACACACACACACACACACACACACACACACACACGAUGGCCUCGAGAGAAUCUACAGCACAGUGAGGGUCAGUUAACACUGUCAAGUAAAACUAGUCCAAUGAUGGCAUGUCAGCCAUGCGAAGUGUCAUGCUGAGGGGAAAAAAGUGAAAACUGGAAUUAAAAGCAGAAUGUGGGAGACGGAGGACGUAUGCGUGUGUGAAAGUGUAUCCAUCUGUCCAUCACACAUUCACAAAUACGCACUGUAUCUAAAAGCCAGAAGUGGUCAUAAAUGCUAGGUAUGCAUGUAAGGAGGAGAGGGGAGACAAGGAGAAGAAGUGAGGAGGGGAGACACAAGAAGAAGAAAGAAAAGGAGAGAAGAGGAGAGGAGAGACAAGACAAGGAGAGGAGAGGAUAUGAGUGACAAGGAAAGGAGAGGAGAGACAAGACAAGGCAAGGGCAGGAGAGGAUAUGAGUGACAAGGAGAGGAGAGACAAGACAAGGAGAGGAGAGGAGAGACAAGACAAGGACAGGA
This is a long non-coding RNA of Ictalurus punctatus (channel catfish), 1021 nucleotides long. The record is from Ensembl. Lineage: Eukaryota; Metazoa; Chordata; Actinopteri; Siluriformes; Ictaluridae.